GAAGCAGACCAAGACAACCGCUGGCUGUCAUUUCGGUGAUGGCGGGAGGAAGGUCCGGACUCCAUAGAGCAGGGUGACGGUUAACGGCCGUCCGUCGUGAGACGAGGAACAGGGCCACAGAGACGAGCGUAUUAAGUUACGGUGAAACGCGGUAACCUCCACCCGGAGCAAUUUCAAAUAGGCACGCGUUGAGGUGGCUCGCGGAGCGUGCGGGUAGAAAGCUUGAGCCGUGCAGUAAUGUACGGCCUAGAGGAAUGGUUGUCAUAGCAGACGGGCUUGCUCGUCUGCCGUAACAGAAUCCGGCCUAUCGGUUCGCUUCAAUU
RNAcentral lists this RNase P RNA (323 nucleotides) under Oxalicibacterium faecigallinarum. Its description in RNAcentral is "RNase P RNA component class A". It matches the Rfam family "Bacterial RNase P class A". Rfam says of the family: Ribonuclease P (RNase P) is a ubiquitous endoribonuclease, found in archaea, bacteria and eukarya as well as chloroplasts and mitochondria. Its best characterised activity is the generation of mature 5'-ends of tRNAs by cleaving the 5'-leader elements of precursor-tRNAs. Cellular RNase Ps are ribonucleoproteins. The record is from RNAcentral. Lineage: Bacteria; Pseudomonadati; Pseudomonadota; Betaproteobacteria; Burkholderiales; Oxalobacteraceae.